UAUACUCUCAUUCCUGAGUAGGACAC
Molecule: non-coding RNA, 26 nt
Filed under: Rattus norvegicus (Norway rat)
Lineage: Eukaryota; Metazoa; Chordata; Mammalia; Rodentia; Muridae
Source: RNAcentral